GAUGAACGCUGGCGGCGUGCCUAACACAUGCAAGUCGAACGAAACUGAUUUCAUGAAACUUCGGUAGAUUGGAUGAAAGUUGAGUGGCGGACGGGUGAGUAACACGUGGGCAACCUGCCUCACAGAGGGGGAUAGCAGUUAGAAAUGACUGCUAAUACCGCAUAAGCGCACAGGACCGCAUGGUCUGGUGUGAAAAACUCCGGUGGUGUGAGAUGGACCCGCGUUUGAUUAGCUAGUUGGUGGGGUAACGGCCUACCAAGGCGACGAUCAAUAGCCGACCUGAGAGGGUGACCGGCCACAUUGGGACUGAGACACGGCCCAAACUCCUACGGGAGGCAGCAGUGGGGAAUAUUGCACAAUGGGGGAAACCCUGAUGCAGCGACGCCGCGUGAGUGAAGAAGUAUUUCGGUAUGUAAAGCUCUAUCAGCAGGGAAGAAAAUGACGGUACCUGACUAAGAAGCCCCGGCUAACUACGUG
This 477-nucleotide ribosomal RNA is filed under the name uncultured bacterium. RNAcentral's name for it is "bacterial SSU rRNA". It matches the Rfam family "Bacterial small subunit ribosomal RNA", at positions 28 to 507 of the family's 1533-position model. The record is from RNAcentral.